Molecule: ribosomal RNA, 550 nt
Filed under: uncultured Glomeraceae
Lineage: Eukaryota; Fungi; Glomeromycota; Glomeromycetes; Glomerales; Glomeraceae
Description: SSU rRNA
Rfam family: Eukaryotic small subunit ribosomal RNA
Source: RNAcentral
UUGGAGGGCAAGUCUGGUGCCAGCAGCCGCGGUAAUUCCAGCUCCAAUAGCGUAUAUUAAAGUUGUUGCAGUUAAAAAGCUCGUAGUUGAAUUUCGGGGUUAGUAGGUUGGUCAUGCCUCUGGUAUGCACUGGUCUCACUGAUCCCUCCUUCCUGAUGAGCCGUAAUGCCAUUAAUUUGGUGUUGCGGGGAAUUUGGACUGUUACUUUGAAAAAAUUAGAGUGCUUAAAGCAGGCUUUUGCUUGAAUAGAUUAGCAUGGAAUAAUAAAAUAGGACGGCAUGGUUCUAUUUUGUUGGUUUCUAGGAUCACCGUAAUGAUUAAUAGGGAUAGUUGGGGGCAUUAGUAUUCAAUUGUCAGAGGUGAAAUUCUUGGAUUUAUUGAAGACUAACUUCUGCGAAAGCAUUUGCCAAGGAUGUUUUCAUUAAUCAAGAACGAAAGUUAGGGGAUCGAAGACGAUCAGAUACCGUCGUAGUCUUAACCAUAAACUAUGCCGACUAGGGAUCGGACGAUGUUAAUUUUUUAAUGACUCGUUCGGCGCCUUACGGGAAAC